RNAcentral lists this ribosomal RNA (631 nucleotides) under uncultured bacterium. Its description in RNAcentral is "bacterial SSU rRNA". The stretch from base 1 to 535 matches the Rfam family "Bacterial small subunit ribosomal RNA", at positions 338 to 873 of the family's 1533-position model. The record is from RNAcentral.
CCUACGGGAGGCAGCAGUAGGGAAUAUUGGGCAAUGGAGGCAACUCUGACCCAGCCAUGCCGCGUGCAGGAUGAAGGCGUUAUGCGUUGUAAACUGCUUUUAUAUAGGAAGAAAUAGACCUUGCGAGGUAAGUUGACGGUACUAUAUGAAUAAGCACCGGCUAACUCCGUGCCAGCAGCCGCGGUAAUACGGAGGGUGCAAGCGUUGUCCGGAUUUAUUGGGUUUAAAGGGUGCGUAGGCGGUUUACUAAGUCAGUGGUGAAAGACGGUCGCUCAACGAUUGCAGUGCCAUUGAUACUGGUAGACUUGAGUGUGAUUGAGGUAGCUGGAAUGGAUAGUGUAGCGGUGAAAUGCAUAGAUAUUAUCCAGAACACCAAUUGCGUAGGCAAGUUACUAAGUCACAACUGACGCUGAGGCACGAAAGUGUGGGUAUCAAACAGGAUUAGAUACCCUGGUAGUCCACACUGUAAACGAUGAUAACUAACUGUUGGCUUUUGGGUCUAGUGUAGAGAGAAAGUAGUUAAGUUAGUUACACCGUCGGGUAGGUACGGUUCCGGCGACGGUUAGGAAACGUAACGAAGGAAGUUAGACGGCGUUGAGACGUUGCCGACGGACGACGACGAGGGAGGAGG